GAUGAACGCUGGCGGCGUGCCUAAUACAUGCAAGUCGAGCGGAGCGGGGACGGGUGAGUAACACGUGGAUAACCUCCUAUAAGACGGGGAUAAGUUCGGGAAACCGGGGCUAAACCGGAUAGGUAUGGAUGGAUCGGUGCUGCAUUAGCUAGUUGGUAAGGUAACGGCUUACCACGGCAACGAUGCAUAGCCGACCUGAGAGGGGGAUCGCCCACACUGGAACUGAGACACGGUCCAGCCUCCUACGGGAGGCAGCAGUAGGGAAUCUUCCGCAAUGGGCGAAAGCCUGACGGAGCAACGCCGCGUGUGUGAUGAAGGUCUUCGGAUCGUAAAGCUCUGUUAUUAGGUAAGCGGUACCUGAUCAGAAAGCCCCGGCUAACUACGUGCCAGCCGCCGCGGUAAUAC
This 405-nucleotide ribosomal RNA is filed under the name uncultured bacterium. Its description in RNAcentral is "partial 16S ribosomal RNA". It matches the Rfam family "Bacterial small subunit ribosomal RNA", at positions 28 to 526 of the family's 1533-position model. The record is from RNAcentral.